This 506-nucleotide ribosomal RNA is filed under the name uncultured bacterium. Its description in RNAcentral is "partial 16S ribosomal RNA". It matches the Rfam family "Bacterial small subunit ribosomal RNA", at positions 29 to 523 of the family's 1533-position model. The record is from RNAcentral.
AGUGAACGCUGGCGGUAGGCCUAACACAUGCAAGUCGAACGGCAGCACAGGAAAGCUUGCUCUCUGGGUGGCGAGUGGCGGACGGGUGAGGAAUACAUCGGAAUCUACUCUGUCGUGGGGGAUAACGUAGGGAAACUUACGCUAAUACCGCAUACGACCUACGGGUGAAAGCAGGGGACCUUAGGGCCUUGCGCGAUUGAAUGAGCCGAUGUCGGAUUAGCUAGUUGGCGGGGUAAAGGCCCACCAAGGCGACGAUCCGUAGCUGGUCUGAGGGGAUGAUCAGCCAAACUGGAACUGAGACACGGUCCGGACUCCUACGGGAGGCAGCAGUGGGGAAUAUUGGACAAUGGGCGCAAGCCUGAUCCAGCCAUACCGCGUGGGUGAAGAAGGCCUUCGGGUUGUAAAGCCCUUUUGUCGGGAAAGAAAUCCAUCUGGUUAAUACCCGGAUGGGAUGACGGUACCCAAAGAAUAAGCACCGGCUAACUUCGUGCCAGCCGCCGCAGUAA